CGCCCGUCACAUCAUGGGAGUUGGUUUUGCCCAAAGUGGCUGACUUAACCUCUGUUUUAUUACAGGGGAAGAGGUCACCAAGGUAAGGCCGAUGACUGGGAUG
This 103-nucleotide ribosomal RNA is filed under the name uncultured bacterium. Its description in RNAcentral is "partial 16S ribosomal RNA". The record is from RNAcentral.